RNAcentral lists this ribosomal RNA (2907 nucleotides) under Escherichia coli. RNAcentral's name for it is "bacterial LSU rRNA". It matches the Rfam family "Bacterial large subunit ribosomal RNA". Lineage: Bacteria; Pseudomonadati; Pseudomonadota; Gammaproteobacteria; Enterobacterales; Enterobacteriaceae. The record is from RNAcentral.
UGAGGUUAAGCGACUAAGCGUACACGGUGGAUGCCCUGGCAGUCAGAGGCGAUGAAGGACGUGCUAAUCUGCGAUAAGCGUCGGUAAGGUGAUAUGAACCGUUAUAACCGGCGAUUUCCGAAUGGGGAAACCCAGUGUGUUUCGACACACUAUCAUUAACUGAAUCCAUAGGUUAAUGAGGCGAACCGGGGGAACUGAAACAUCUAAGUACCCCGAGGAAAAGAAAUCAACCGAGAUUCCCCCAGUAGCGGCGAGCGAACGGGGAGCAGCCCAGAGCCUGAAUCAGUGUGUGUGUUAGUGGAAGCGUCUGGAAAGGCGCGCGAUACAGGGUGACAGCCCCGUACACAAAAAUGCACAUGCUGUGAGCUCGAUGAGUAGGGCGGGACACGUGGUAUCCUGUCUGAAUAUGGGGGGACCAUCCUCCAAGGCUAAAUACUCCUGACUGACCGAUAGUGAACCAGUACCGUGAGGGAAAGGCGAAAAGAACCCCGGCGAGGGGAGUGAAAAAGAACCUGAAACCGUGUACGUACAAGCAGUGGGAGCACGCUUAGGCGUGUGACUGCGUACCUUUUGUAUAAUGGGUCAGCGACUUAUAUUCUGUAGCAAGGUUAACCGAAUAGGGGAGCCGAAGGGAAACCGAGUCUUAACUGGGCGUUAAGUUGCAGGGUAUAGACCCGAAACCCGGUGAUCUAGCCAUGGGCAGGUUGAAGGUUGGGUAACACUAACUGGAGGACCGAACCGACUAAUGUUGAAAAAUUAGCGGAUGACUUGUGGCUGGGGGUGAAAGGCCAAUCAAACCGGGAGAUAGCUGGUUCUCCCCGAAAGCUAUUUAGGUAGCGCCUCGUGAAUUCAUCUCCGGGGGUAGAGCACUGUUUCGGCAAGGGGGUCAUCCCGACUUACCAACCCGAUGCAAACUGCGAAUACCGGAGAAUGUUAUCACGGGAGACACACGGCGGGUGCUAACGUCCGUCGUGAAGAGGGAAACAACCCAGACCGCCAGCUAAGGUCCCAAAGUCAUGGUUAAGUGGGAAACGAUGUGGGAAGGCCCAGACAGCCAGGAUGUUGGCUUAGAAGCAGCCAUCAUUUAAAGAAAGCGUAAUAGCUCACUGGUCGAGUCGGCCUGCGCGGAAGAUGUAACGGGGCUAAACCAUGCACCGAAGCUGCGGCAGCGACGCUUAUGCGUUGUUGGGUAGGGGAGCGUUCUGUAAGCCUGCGAAGGUGUGCUGUGAGGCAUGCUGGAGGUAUCAGAAGUGCGAAUGCUGACAUAAGUAACGAUAAAGCGGGUGAAAAGCCCGCUCGCCGGAAGACCAAGGGUUCCUGUCCAACGUUAAUCGGGGCAGGGUGAGUCGACCCCUAAGGCGAGGCCGAAAGGCGUAGUCGAUGGGAAACAGGUUAAUAUUCCUGUACUUGGUGUUACUGCGAAGGGGGGACGGAGAAGGCUAUGUUGGCCGGGCGACGGUUGUCCCGGUUUAAGCGUGUAGGCUGGUUUUCCAGGCAAAUCCGGAAAAUCAAGGCUGAGGCGUGAUGACGAGGCACUACGGUGCUGAAGCAACAAAUGCCCUGCUUCCAGGAAAAGCCUCUAAGCAUCAGGUAACAUCAAAUCGUACCCCAAACCGACACAGGUGGUCAGGUAGAGAAUACCAAGGCGCUUGAGAGAACUCGGGUGAAGGAACUAGGCAAAAUGGUGCCGUAACUUCGGGAGAAGGCACGCUGAUAUGUAGGUGAAGCGACUUGCUCGUGGAGCUGAAAUCAGUCGAAGAUACCAGCUGGCUGCAACUGUUUAUUAAAAACACAGCACUGUGCAAACACGAAAGUGGACGUAUACGGUGUGACGCCUGCCCGGUGCCGGAAGGUUAAUUGAUGGGGUUAGCGCAAGCGAAGCUCUUGAUCGAAGCCCCGGUAAACGGCGGCCGUAACUAUAACGGUCCUAAGGUAGCGAAAUUCCUUGUCGGGUAAGUUCCGACCUGCACGAAUGGCGUAAUGAUGGCCAGGCUGUCUCCACCCGAGACUCAGUGAAAUUGAACUCGCUGUGAAGAUGCAGUGUACCCGCGGCAAGACGGAAAGACCCCGUGAACCUUUACUAUAGCUUGACACUGAACAUUGAGCCUUGAUGUGUAGGAUAGGUGGGAGGCUUAGAAGUGUGGACGCCAGUCUGCAUGGAGCCGACCUUGAAAUACCACCCUUUAAUGUUUGAUGUUCUAACGUUGACCCGUAAUCCGGGUUGCGGACAGUGUCUGGUGGGUAGUUUGACUGGGGCGGUCUCCUCCUAAAGAGUAACGGAGGAGCACGAAGGUUGGCUAAUCCUGGUCGGACAUCAGGAGGUUAGUGCAAUGGCAUAAGCCAGCUUGACUGCGAGCGUGACGGCGCGAGCAGGUGCGAAAGCAGGUCAUAGUGAUCCGGUGGUUCUGAAUGGAAGGGCCAUCGCUCAACGGAUAAAAGGUACUCCGGGGAUAACAGGCUGAUACCGCCCAAGAGUUCAUAUCGACGGCGGUGUUUGGCACCUCGAUGUCGGCUCAUCACAUCCUGGGGCUGAAGUAGGUCCCAAGGGUAUGGCUGUUCGCCAUUUAAAGUGGUACGCGAGCUGGGUUUAGAACGUCGUGAGACAGUUCGGUCCCUAUCUGCCGUGGGCGCUGGAGAACUGAGGGGGGCUGCUCCUAGUACGAGAGGACCGGAGUGGACGCAUCACUGGUGUUCGGGUUGUCAUGCCAAUGGCACUGCCCGGUAGCUAAAUGCGGAAGAGAUAAGUGCUGAAAGCAUCUAAGCACGAAACUUGCCCCGAGAUGAGUUCUCCCUGACCCUUUAAGGGUCCUGAAGGAACGUUGAAGACGACGACGUUGAUAGGCCGGGUGUGUAAGCGCAGCGAUGCGUUGAGCUAACCGGUACUAAUGAACCGUGAGGCUUAACCUU